This is a small nuclear RNA of Cercocebus atys (sooty mangabey), 103 nucleotides long. The record is from Ensembl. Lineage: Eukaryota; Metazoa; Chordata; Mammalia; Primates; Cercopithecidae.
AUGUACCCUUUUGCACUUAUAUAGCAAGACUGGAAUACAGAGGAGAUUGGCAUGAACCCUUAGCACGAAUAAUACAUACAUUUAUGAAAUGUUUCAUAAUUGU